RNAcentral lists this long non-coding RNA (1400 nucleotides) under Parus major (Great Tit). Its description in RNAcentral is "lncRNA (ENSPMJG00000004044.1)". The record is from RNAcentral. Lineage: Eukaryota; Metazoa; Chordata; Aves; Passeriformes; Paridae.
CAUCCUCAAACUGGGAUCAAGAGGAGAUGGAGUCACAUUUGAACAGGCAAGCACUGAACCCCUGGGAUGUAGCUGGUGGGUUAAAGCCCACUCAUGACAAUUUUGUAGAUAGAUACCUCCGAGAGAAGGUGGAAGAUGAAGCUCCAAGGCAGAACUACAUCAGUACUCUCAAUCAGGCCCUGGAGGACAACCCCUACUGGGUUGGACAUAAUCAGCUUUUCUACCAGGUGUUGAGCCCUGUGACAGCAGAAGGAGGGCUCAGAGCCACGGCCAGAAAAGCUGAGCAACGUCUAAACAGGAACUGGGAUUUUCUCUCUGACCCAUUGGCUCAGAGCCACCUCGCUGAGAGCAGCAGGGGAGAGGCCAUGGCUGAAGAGAAGCAUUCCUCUCAAGGCGGGCACCUCCUGAUCAUGCCUGCCACCACAGACACACAGGGGAAGCAACAGGAGGAAGGGUCAAUGUUCAUAAAAAAAUCUGGGAGACCCCAAGGCCCAGAUCUUGCACUGGUUCCAGGUGAGCUCUUGAAUACCACAGUCCAUCAUCACCUGCACUUGCUGGAGCCAGACGAAGGCCUGUGGGCGUUCAUGGGCCAUGUGGAGCAAGCCCUGAGGACUGGCUGCAGCCUGCCCCAGAUCAAGCAGGCCUGUGCCAGGACAUUCUCAAAGAUUGGGCUACUUCUAAAGGAGCUCAGUGAGAGGCAAGAGACCCAGGGAGCCUCUGAUCGCAUGGGCCAGUGUCCCCUGCAAGACAACAUCUCCAGACGCACAGCUUUGCAGGAUCAGGAGCCCGCAGAAAAGCCAAGGCCAGAGACUGUGGAUGACACGAUCACAUUUGUGGUUUUGCUGUCUCUCAUCGCAAUCAUUUUGCUGAUACUGAAGUGUGUCUUCCACGUGUGUUCCCGAUGUGCUGCAGCUAUUUGCCGACAGCUACCCAGCUGGAAAUCGUGGCUGAGAAGGCUGUCUAUAAAACUGAAACAGAGAUGGAGGAAGAACAAGUACAGGGAUGUAGAGGAUGCAGAGCAGGACCUGCCUGAGCUCAGUGAAGCUGAAUUGCUGGUGGUUCAAUACAUCAUGGAUGUCCUUGAUAAAGAGGAAGAAGAAUUGCAGAAACAAAUGCAGAAAGAGAAUACAGAUGUCUCACAAGAAGAGAUACAACAUGAAGAACUUGAGUGAGGGGAAGAUGGAUGCCAACACUUCUUCUCCAGCUCCUGCACCCAUACAGGAGUUGCGGAAGCUUUCCUUUGAUUCUAAUCCUUGAUCCUUGGAUCCCAGUUCUUGCCUUGGAGGCUAUUUCCUUAGCUAUUUCCAUACUGAUAUUUCUUUAACUCUCAUUGAAUGAUACUUCCUUCACAGUUCUUUCCUUGGAUAUUAUUCCUAAUAAAUGCUGGUUUUGUGCAGCCA